Molecule: ribosomal RNA, 272 nt
Filed under: uncultured Staphylococcus sp.
Lineage: Bacteria; Bacillati; Bacillota; Bacilli; Caryophanales; Staphylococcaceae
Description: partial 16S ribosomal RNA
Rfam family: Bacterial small subunit ribosomal RNA
Source: RNAcentral
CGGCGGACGGGUGAGUAACACGUGGGUAACCUACCUAUAAGACUGGGAUAACUCCGGGAAACCGGGGCUAAUACCGGAUAACACAUGAAACCGCAUGGUUUCAUGAUGAAAGACGGUUUUGCUGUCACUUAUAGAUGGACCCGCGGCGUAUUAGCUAGUUGGUAAGGUAACGGCUUACCAAGGCAACGAUACGUAGCCGACCUGAGAGGGUGAUCGGCCACACUGGAACUGAGACACGGUCCAGACUCCUACGGGAGGCAGAGGCAGCAGAA